This is a long non-coding RNA of Ictalurus punctatus (channel catfish), 330 nucleotides long. The record is from Ensembl. NCBI's taxonomy places the organism in Eukaryota, Metazoa, Chordata, Actinopteri, Siluriformes, Ictaluridae.
CAAAUGUUUAAGAGCUGUCUGUGCAUAUUAGAUAGUGCAACCUAACAGUUUACUUAACAGAGGUCCUCAGAAAGAGUGUGUAUGUUUGUGUGUGGACAUUUUGAGUCUGCUGGGAUAUGUGCUAUGACCUUAAGGAAAUGCAGUCAGACCACCAAUACCAUCCUGAAGCCACAAGCUCCUGCUCCAUCCAAAUUCUAUCCCUACCUUCCUGUGGCCACAAACUCCUGCUCCAUCCAGAUUCUACUCCUACCGUCCUAUGGCCACAAACUCCUGCUCCAUCCAGAUUCUAUUCCUACCUUCCUGUGGCUUCAAGUGCCUGCUCCAUCCAGA